GACGAACGCUGGCGGCGUGCUUAACACAUGCCAGUCGAACGGAAAGGCCCUGCUUUUGUGGGGUGCUCGAGUGGCGAACGGGUGAGUAACACGUGAGUAACCUGCCCUUGACUUUGGGAUAACUUCAGGAAACUGGGGCUAAUACCGGAUAGGAGCUCCUGCUGCAUGGUGGGGGUUGGAAAGUUUCGGCGGUUGGGGAUGGACUCGCGGCUUAUCAGCUUGUUGGUGGGGUAGUGGCUUACCAAGGCUUUGACGGGUAGCCGGCCUGAGAGGGUGACCGGCCACAUUGGGAAUGAGAUACGGCCCAGACUCCUACGGGAGGCAGCAGUGGGGAAUAUUGCAAAAUGGGCGGAAGCCUGAUGCAGCAACGCCGCGUGAGGGAUGACGGACUUCGGGUUGUAAACCGCUUUCGCCUGUGACGAAGCGUGAGUGACGGUAAUGGGUAAAGAAGCACCGGCUAACUACGUG
RNAcentral lists this ribosomal RNA (468 nucleotides) under uncultured bacterium. RNAcentral's name for it is "partial 16S ribosomal RNA". It matches the Rfam family "Bacterial small subunit ribosomal RNA", at positions 28 to 507 of the family's 1533-position model. The record is from RNAcentral.